RNAcentral lists this unclassified non-coding RNA (354 nucleotides) under soil metagenome. RNAcentral describes it as "partial contains 5.8S ribosomal RNA, internal transcribed spacer 2, and large subunit ribosomal RNA". The stretch from base 1 to 120 matches the Rfam family "5.8S ribosomal RNA", at positions 35 to 154 of the family's 154-position model. The record is from RNAcentral.
GAUGAAGAACGCAGCGAAACGCGAUAUGUAAUGUGAAUCGCAGAAUUCAGUGAAUCAUCGAAUCUUUGAACGCACAUGGCGCCUUCCAGUAUCCUGGGAGGCAUGCCUGUCCGAGCGUCGUUUCAACCCUCGAGCCCUCGUGGCCCGGCGUUGGGGAUCUGCCACGGCAGGCCCCGAAAUACAGUGGCGGACCCGUUAGGCCCUUCCUUUGCGUAGUAGCAUCAGCCUCGCAUCGGGAGCCGGCGGGCUCUCCUGCCUCUAAACCCCCCAACAAGCCCGCUCCGGCGGCACCAAGGUUGACCUCGGAUCAGGUAGGAAUACCCGCUGAACUUAAGCAUAUCAAUAAGCGGAGGA